CGCGUAGGAAUCUACCUAGUAGUGGGGGAUAGCCCGAAGAAAUUCGGAUUAAUACCGCAUAAUCUAUUCGUAGUAAAGUGGGGGACUUUCGAGCCUCACGCUAUUAGAUGAGCCUGCGUAAGAUUAGCUUGUUGGUAGGGUAAAAGCCUACCAAGGCUACGAUCUUUAGCUGGUCUGAGAGGAUGAUCAGCCACAUCGGGACUGAGACACGGCCCGAACUCCUACGGGAGGCAGCAGUGGGGAAUAUUGGACAAUGGGGGCAACCCUGAUCCAGCAAUACCGCGUGUGUGAAGAAGGCCUGAGGGUUGUAAAGCACUUUCAAUUGUGAAGAAAAGUUAACGGUUAAUAACCGUUAGCCUUGACGUUAACUUUAGAAGA
RNAcentral lists this ribosomal RNA (378 nucleotides) under uncultured bacterium. RNAcentral's name for it is "bacterial SSU rRNA". It matches the Rfam family "Bacterial small subunit ribosomal RNA", at positions 114 to 488 of the family's 1533-position model. The record is from RNAcentral.